RNAcentral lists this unclassified non-coding RNA (450 nucleotides) under Hevea brasiliensis (rubber tree). Lineage: Eukaryota; Viridiplantae; Streptophyta; Magnoliopsida; Malpighiales; Euphorbiaceae. The record is from RNAcentral.
UAUGUUGCAGCUUUUUUAAAGGCAAUUGAUAUCAUUAACCAAGAUAGUGAAAAAUUUGCAUGGAGAUUGUAGUUGUGCAUUUUAGACAAUCAAAUGAAAAGGGGAAAACAUUUGGUAAAAUAGGUGCUAUCUUUGGAAGAAUAUGUUAAUUAUCAAUCAUAUUUUAGAGUGCAUGGUACACCUGAAGCUAAAAGGAAGGGAAUGCUUUGUGUUGAAGGCCAAAUGCAGUAUAGUCUUGAGUCAGGCGGCAAAAAUGAAAAAUGCUAGUGGCUUUGAGGAUGUAGCCAAACAGAUAUUACAUGUAAUAUUUUCUUGUCUUGUCUUCUCCGUGUUUAUAUUUGUCUAUCCACAUGCCCUGUGUGGUUGAAUUUGUAACAGAAUCAUGGUGAGUAGGUGAACCACUUGCUUCUCCACUAUGAGUGGAUUAGAAUUCUUUGGUUUUUGGUUCAG